This 253-nucleotide ribosomal RNA is filed under the name uncultured microorganism. Its description in RNAcentral is "partial 16S ribosomal RNA". It matches the Rfam family "Bacterial small subunit ribosomal RNA", at positions 524 to 776 of the family's 1533-position model. The record is from RNAcentral.
UACGGAGGGGGCGAGCGUUGUUCGGAGUUACUGGGCGUAAAGCGCACGUAGGCGGUGCGGUAAGUCAGGGGUUAAAGGCUGCAGCUCAACUGCAGUAAGGCCUUUGAUACUAUCGUGCUAGAGUGUCAGAGAGGAUGGCGGAAUUCCCGGUGUAGCGGUGAAAUACGUAGAUAUCUGGAAGAACACCAGUGGCGAAGGCGGCUACUUGGUUCGCAACUGACGCUGAGGCGCGAAAGCGUGGGGAGCAAACAGG